GAUGAACGCUGGCGGCGUGCCUAAUACAUGCAAGUCGAGCGAACAGAUGAGGAGCUUGCUCCUCUGACGUUAGCGGCGGACGGGUGAGUAACACGUGGAUAACCUACCUAUAAGACUGGGAUAACUUCGGGAAACCGGAGCUAAUACCGGAUAAUAUAUUGAACCGCAUGGUUCAAUAGUGAAAGACGGUUUUGCUGUCACUUAUAGAUGGAUCCGCGCCGCAUUAGCUAGUUGGUAAGGUAACGGCUUACCAAGGCAACGAUGCAUAUCCGACCUGAGAGGGUGAUCGGCCACACUGGAACUGAGACACGUUCCAGACUCCUACGGGAGGCAGCAGUAGGGAAUCUUCCGCAAUGGGCGAAAGCCUGACGGAGCAACGCCGCGUGAGUGAUGAAGGUCUUCGGAUCGUAAAACUCUGUUAUUAGGGAAGAACAAAUGUGUAAGUAACUAUGCACGUCUUGACGGUACCUAAUCAGAAAGCCACGGCUAACUACGUG
This 497-nucleotide ribosomal RNA is filed under the name uncultured bacterium. RNAcentral describes it as "partial 16S ribosomal RNA". It matches the Rfam family "Bacterial small subunit ribosomal RNA", at positions 28 to 507 of the family's 1533-position model. The record is from RNAcentral.